RNAcentral lists this ribosomal RNA (2825 nucleotides) under Klebsiella pneumoniae. RNAcentral's name for it is "bacterial LSU rRNA". It matches the Rfam family "Bacterial large subunit ribosomal RNA". Lineage: Bacteria; Pseudomonadati; Pseudomonadota; Gammaproteobacteria; Enterobacterales; Enterobacteriaceae. The record is from RNAcentral.
GGGUUGUGAGGUUAAGCGACUAAGCGUACACGGUGGAUGCCCUGGCAGUCAGAGGCGAUGAAGGACGUGCUAAUCUGCGAAAAGCGUCGGUAAGGUGAUAUGAACCGUUAUAGCCGGCGAUGUCCGAAUGGGGAAACCCAGUGCAAUUCGUUGCACUAUCGUUAACUGAAUACAUAGGUUAACGAGGCGAACCGGGGGAACUGAAACAUCUAAGUACCCCGAGGAAAAGAAAUCAACCGAGAUUCCCCCAGUAGCGGCGAGCGAACGGGGAGCAGCCCAGAGUCUGAAUCAGCUUGUGUGUUAGUGGAACGGUCUGGAAAGUCCGACGGUACAGGGUGAUAGUCCCGUACACCAAAAUGCACAGGCUGUGAACUCGAAGAGUAGGGCGGGACACGUGGUAUCCUGUCUGAAUAUGGGGGGACCAUCCUCCAAGGCUAAAUACUCCUGACUGACCGAUAGUGAACCAGUACCGUGAGGGAAAGGCGAAAAGAACCCCGGCGAGGGGAGUGAAAAAGAACCUGAAACCGUGUACGUACAAGCAGUGGGAGCACCUUCGGGUGUGACUGCGUACCUUUUGUAUAAUGGGUCAGCGACUUAUAUUCUGUAGCAAGGUUAACCGUAUAGGGGAGCCGCAGGGAAACCGAGUCUUAACUGGGCGUUAAGUUGCAGGGUAUAGACCCGAAACCCGGUGAUCUAGCCAUGGGCAGGUUGAAGGUUGGGUAACACUAACUGGAGGACCGAACCGACUAAUGUUGAAAAAUUAGCGGAUGACUUGUGGCUGGGGGUGAAAGGCCAAUCAAACCGGGAGAUAGCUGGUUCUCCCCGAAAGCUAUUUAGGUAGCGCCUCGUGAACUCAUCUUCGGGGGUAGAGCACUGUUUCGGCUAGGGGGUCAUCCCGACUUACCAACCCGAUGCAAACUACGAAUACCGAAGAAUGUUAUCACGGGAGACACACGGCGGGUGCUAACGUCCGUCGUGAAGAGGGAAACAACCCAGACCGCCAGCUAAGGUCCCAAAGUCAUGGUUAAGUGGGAAACGAUGUGGGAAGGCACAGACAGCCAGGAUGUUGGCUUAGAAGCAGCCAUCAUUUAAAGAAAGCGUAAUAGCUCACUGGUCGAGUCGGCCUGCGCGGAAGAUGUAACGGGGCUAAACCAUGCACCGAAGCUGCGGCAGCGACACUAUGUGUUGUUGGGUAGGGGAGCGUUCUGUAAGCCUGCGAAGGUGUGCUGUGAGGGUUGCUGGAGGUAUCAGAAGUGCGAAUGCUGACAUAAGUAACGAUAAAGCGGGUGAAAAGCCCGCUCGCCGGAAGACCAAGGGUUCCUGUCCAACGUUAAUCGGGGCAGGGUGAGUCGACCCCUAAGGCGAGGCCGAAAGGCGUAGUCGAUGGGAAACAGGUUAAUAUUCCUGUACUUGGUGUUACUGCGAAGGGGGGACGGAGAAGGCUAUGUUAGCCGGGCGACGGUUGUCCCGGUUUAAGCAUGUAGGCUGGUUGUCCAGGCAAAUCCGGAUAAUCAAGGCUGAGGUGUGAUGACGAGGCACUACGGUGCUGAAGUAACAAAUGCCCUGCUUCCAGGAAAAGCCUCUAAGCAUCAGGUAACAUCAAAUCGUACCCCAAACCGACACAGGUGGUCAGGUAGAGAAUACCAAGGCGCUUGAGAGAACUCGGGUGAAGGAACUAGGCAAAAUGGUGCCGUAACUUCGGGAGAAGGCACGCUGGUGUGUAGGUGAAGUCCCUGCGGAUGGAGCUGAGACCAGUCGAAGAUACCAGCUGGCUGCAACUGUUUAUUAAAAACACAGCACUGUGCAAACACGAAAGUGGACGUAUACGGUGUGACGCCUGCCCGGUGCCGGAAGGUUAAUUGAUGGGGUUAUCCGUAAGGAGAAGCUCUUGAUCGAAGCCCCGGUAAACGGCGGCCGUAACUAUAACGGUCCUAAGGUAGCGAAAUUCCUUGUCGGGUAAGUUCCGACCUGCACGAAUGGCGUAAUGAUGGCCAGGCUGUCUCCACCCGAGACUCAGUGAAAUUGAACUCGCUGUGAAGAUGCAGUGUACCCGCGGCAAGACGGAAAGACCCCGUGAACCUUUACUAUAGCUUGACACUGAACAUUGAGCCUUGAUGUGUAGGAUAGGUGGGAGGCUUUGAAGCGUGGACGCCAGUCUGCGUGGAGCCAACCUUGAAAUACCACCCUUUAAUGUUUGAUGUUCUAACGUUGGCCCCUUACCGGGGUUGCGGACAGUGUCUGGUGGGUAGUUUGACUGGGGCGGUCUCCUCCCAAAGCGUAACGGAGGAGCACGAAGGUUAGCUAAUCCUGGUCGGACAUCAGGAGGUUAGUGCAAUGGCAUAAGCUAGCUUGACUGCGAGCGUGACGGCGCGAGCAGGUGCGAAAGCAGGUCAUAGUGAUCCGGUGGUUCUGAAUGGAAGGGCCAUCGCUCAACGGAUAAAAGGUACUCCGGGGAUAACAGGCUGAUACCGCCCAAGAGUUCAUAUCGACGGCGGUGUUUGGCACCUCGAUGUCGGCUCAUCACAUCCUGGGGCUGAAGUAGGUCCCAAGGGUAUGGCUGUUCGCCAUUUAAAGUGGUACGCGAGCUGGGUUUAGAACGUCGUGAGACAGUUCGGUCCCUAUCUGCCGUGGGCGCUGGAGAAUUGAGGGGGGCUGCUCCUAGUACGAGAGGACCGGAGUGGACGCAUCACUGGUGUUCGGGUUGUCAUGCCAAUGGCACUGCCCGGUAGCUAAAUGCGGAAGAGAUAAGUGCUGAAAGCAUCUAAGCACGAAACUUGCCCCGAGAUGAGUUCUCCCUGAGACUUUAAGUCUCCUGAAGGAACGUU